UACGUAGGGGGCUAGCGUUAUCCGGAAUUACUGGGCGUAAAGGGUGCGUAGGUGGUUUCUUAAGUCAGAGGUGAAAGGCUACGGCUCAACCGUAGUAAGCCUUUGAAACUGGGAAACUUGAGUGCAGGAGAGGAGAGUGGAAUUCCUAGUGUAGCGGUGAAAUGCGCAGAUAUUAGGAGGAACACCAGUUGCGAAGGCGGCUCUCUGGUCUGUAACUGACGCUGAGGUUCGAAAGCGUGGGGAGCAAACAGG
RNAcentral lists this ribosomal RNA (252 nucleotides) under uncultured bacterium. Its description in RNAcentral is "partial 16S ribosomal RNA". It matches the Rfam family "Bacterial small subunit ribosomal RNA", at positions 524 to 776 of the family's 1533-position model. The record is from RNAcentral.